Molecule: non-coding RNA, 78 nt
Filed under: Methylophaga lonarensis
Lineage: Bacteria; Pseudomonadati; Pseudomonadota; Gammaproteobacteria; Thiotrichales; Piscirickettsiaceae
Also listed under: 1 other name
Description: c-di-GMP sequence
Rfam family: c-di-GMP-I riboswitch aptamer
About the family: GEMM was predicted in a large-scale screen for bacterial structured RNA regulatory elements. Genes associated with GEMM are involved in a diverse array of functions, including chemotaxis regulation, signal transduction, secretion and chitin.
Source: RNAcentral
UUGAUAAUGUGCCAACCUUGAUGCGAGUCAAGCGACGGAAAGCCACGGGUCUCUGGGAGAGACGGCCGGGUUGCAGUU